Long non-coding RNA from Bos taurus (domestic cattle), 1060 nucleotides. Lineage: Eukaryota; Metazoa; Chordata; Mammalia; Artiodactyla; Bovidae. The record is from Ensembl.
GGGAAGAUGGCACUGAAAGACAGGGGUGUGGGUUUAUGGUUGAGGCCUUGCUGUUGGGGUGGGGAGAUUAGAAAAAAGUUUUCUGAGUAUUUUCCUCAAUCAAAUCUUAUGUCUUAGUAUUUUAAGAAGCACAAAACGGUGGACUAAUGGUAAGAACCCUGAGAAACCAUAGAAGAAAGACUAAUGAAAGAAAGCAACAUAGAGAGCAGAUUCUAUGGUAACAAAGAUGACAGAUUAAGACCGACAAAAGAAGGGGAUGACUAGAAACAAGGCAGCUGCUUUCAAGAAGUCCUGACGGUUGAAUUGUCUUCCCCAAGAUUCAGAUGUUGAAGUCCCAACUCAGAAUGGAUAUUUGAAGACAGGGUCUUCAAAGAGGUGAUUAAGUUAAUAUGAGGUCACGCAGGUGAGCCCUACGCCCUGUAAUUGUUCUGAUGAGAAGAAGUGAUCAGGACACAGACACAUACAGAGGGAAGAGCUUGUGAAGACACAGGGAGAAGGUUCCCAUCUAUAAGCCAAACAGAGCAGCUUCAGAAGGAAGUAACCCUACCAACAGCUUGAUCUUGGACUUCCAGCCUCUGCAAUUUGAUGGAGGAGCCUGGCAUGCUACAGUCCAUGGAGAGUCGGGCACGACUUAGAGCCUGAAGAGCAACAGAUGAAUCUCAGUCUCGCACACACUGGAGGAUGCACUGCUUUAGCCCAGUGGGUCUCAACCCUUGCUGCUUCAUAGAGCCACCUGGGAGCUUUCCAAGGCCUGGGGCAGGGCCUCUUAUCCAUUCUUCUUAAGAGCACUCAGGAUAAUGCUGUGCUGGGUCUUCGUUGCUGCUCGGGCUGCUCACUGUGGAGGCUUCUCUUGUGAAGCACAGUAGUUGCAGUCUCUGGGCUCUGGAGCACAGGGUCAGAAGUUGUGGCUUAGUUGCUCCAUGGCAUGUGGGAUCUUCCCGGACCAGGGAUCAAACCCACAUCUCUGUGGCAGAUUCUUUACCACUGAGCCACCAGGAAAGCCACUUGGUUCUUUCUUGUUUGGGGUCCAAAACUUAGUUUGGAUUCUUGGCUCUAGGAG